GAGCAGGCAGCAAAUGGGGUUAACAGUGGCAAAGGCAGGUUGGCAUGGCAGAGAGACUGCAGUAAAGGCAGUAAUCAAAUCAUAAGAUCACGUGAUUGCCUGUUGAAUGGAGUUGGUCUGAGGAAUGGAAGAAGCUCUCGGGAUGCCAGUCAAAGUUGCAUCACAUGAUCUCCUGCAUCCAUUAGAAAAUGAGUUUGAUGAAAAUUCCAGCAUAGAUCAACCUUGUCAUCAAUAAACCCCAUGGUCUUUGGCUGCUGCCUUUCUUCUUCCCACUUCUUUCUCAGUUGGCAUAUGUACAUCUGAUAGAAUCAAGGGAGAUGAUGAAGGAUAGAUGCAGAUCUUUCUUAGGUGCUGCUCCUGCUGUGCUGAAGCUAUUUCUGAUAAUUUUCCUUCUCAGCUCUUAUGGUAUUGUUGGAGUUCAAGCAAAAAAGCUGCUACCUCCGAAUGCAGUAUCUCAUACGACGCAGGAGCACCAACAACUGAAGGUUGAUAGAAGCUCGAGCACACCUACAAGACAGACAAGGGUGAGCCUUAGGAGGAUACCCCCUUCGAACUCCAACCCAACUCAGAACAAGUCGCGGCCACGGUUCGAUGGAUCAGGCUCGAGGAAUCCUUGAGGUAGCAUUGAGAAAAGCAAUUUAGAUGAGAGGUGAAGAGUGGAUUAGACAUAGCUCAUGUAACAUACUUUUAAAUGCUUUAGAGUAGUUCUCUGUUUUGACCACCUGUUGUAUUCUCCGACCUGCAUUGUUCUCUCUGCAUCUCUGCUUCCGAGAUCACAGAGAGUUAACAUAUUUUUUGCU
Musa acuminata AAA Group (dessert banana) is the source of this 800-nucleotide long non-coding RNA. RefSeq lists it as uncharacterized. The transcript is spliced from 2 exons. The record is from RefSeq and is a predicted model, not a curated record. Lineage: Eukaryota; Viridiplantae; Streptophyta; Magnoliopsida; Zingiberales; Musaceae.